AUAUAUAUAUAUAUUCUUUGGUUUCAAAAAAAAAAAAAAAAAAAAAAAAAAA
RNAcentral lists this non-coding RNA (52 nucleotides) under Ctenophora environmental sample. The record is from RNAcentral. Lineage: Eukaryota; Metazoa; Ctenophora.